GAUCAUGGCUCAGGAUGAACGCUAGCUACAGGCUUAACACAUGCAAGUCGAGGGGUAACGAGAGGAAAGCUUGCUUUCUUGUCGACGACCGGCGCACGGGUGAGUAACGCGUAUCCAACCUGCCCCCAACUAAGGAAUAACCUUGCGAAAGUAAGACUAAUACCUUAUAAUUUCCUCAGAUGUCAUCUGACGAGGAUAAAGAUUUAUCGGUUGUGGAUGGGGAUGCGUUGGAUUAGGUAGUUGGUGGGGGUAAUGGCCUACCAAGCCGACGAUCCAUAGCUGGUUUGAGAGGAUGAUCAGCCACACUGGGACUGAGACACGGCCCAGACUCCUACGGGAGGCAGCAGUGGGGAAUCUUAGACAAUGGGCGCAAGCCUGAUCUAGCCAUGCCGCGUGAUCGAUGAAGGCCUUAGGGUUGUAAAGAUCUUCAGUGGGGAAGAUAAUGACUGUACCCACAGAAGAAGCCCCGGCUAACUCCGUG
This 481-nucleotide ribosomal RNA is filed under the name uncultured bacterium. Its description in RNAcentral is "bacterial SSU rRNA". It matches the Rfam family "Bacterial small subunit ribosomal RNA", at positions 15 to 507 of the family's 1533-position model. The record is from RNAcentral.